Molecule: ribosomal RNA, 618 nt
Filed under: Triticum aestivum (bread wheat)
Lineage: Eukaryota; Viridiplantae; Streptophyta; Magnoliopsida; Poales; Poaceae
Description: partial small subunit ribosomal RNA
Source: RNAcentral
AUGUCUGCAUUGAGACCAGCAUGGGGGAACCCAAGAGGAUUAUCAGCAAAACCAGUGGGAGAUAAUACGUUUAUUGUGGAAUUUGCAAACAAGGAAGACUUGGACACAGUUGUGGUAGGGGCUCGUUGGACAGUGGGAAAACAUGUUGUUUUGUUGGCAAACUUUGAUCCAAGACUGAAGCCUUCUGAAGUCACUUUGGACAGAAUCUCUUUGUGGGCAAGAAUCAAAGACCUUCGUUUUGAAUUAAUGAAUAGAACUCGGGGAGGAUCUCUAGGUGCUAAAAUUGGUACAGUAGAGAAGGUUGAUGUAGAUAGCCAAGGUAGAGCUUGGGGCAACUAUUUGCGAGUCCGAGUUUCUGUGGAAAUCUCGAAGCCGCUAUUGAGAUGGAUCACUGCAUACUCGAAGAAAAAGAAAGCUUAUGAGAUAUAUGAAGUGCAGUAUGAAAGAAUUCUACACUAUUGUUUCUCAUGCGGCAUCAUUGCCCAUUCUUCACUAGAAUGUCCAACCCCGGGAGAACGAGAUGAGGAGGGUAAACUUCCUUAUAAUGCAGAUAGGCUGUGCGUGAAGGACGACAGAAAGAAAAAUAUUUUGACCUCAUGGUCAGGACAAAGCCCAUAG